GAUGAACGCUGGCGGCGUGCCUAAUACAUGCAAGUCGAGCGAACGGACGAGAAGCUUGCUUCUCUGACGUUAGCGGCGGACGGGUGAGUAACACGUGGAUAACCUACCUAUAAGACUGGGAUAACUUCGGGAAACCGGAGCUAAUACCGGAUAAUAUUUUGAACCGCAUGGUUCAAUAGUGAAAGACGGUCUUGCUGUCACUUAUAGAUGGAUCCGCGCUGCAUUAGCUAGUUGGUAAGGUAACGGCUUACCAAGGCAACGAUGCAUAGCCGACCUGAGAGGGUGAUCGGCCACGCUGGAACUGAGACACGGUCCAGACUCCUGCGGGAGGCAGCAGUAGGGAAUCUUCCGCAAUGGGCGAAAGCCUGACGGAGCAACGCCGCGUGAGUGAUGAAGGUCUUCGGAUCGUAAAACUCUGUUAUUAGGGAAGAACAAAUGUGUAAGUAACUGUGCACAUCCUGACGGUACCUAAUCAGAAAGCCACGGCUAACUACGUG
Molecule: ribosomal RNA, 497 nt
Filed under: uncultured bacterium
Lineage: Bacteria
Description: partial 16S ribosomal RNA
Rfam family: Bacterial small subunit ribosomal RNA
Source: RNAcentral